This 863-nucleotide unclassified non-coding RNA is filed under the name Homo sapiens (human). RNAcentral's name for it is "MUC20 overlapping transcript (ENSG00000280993.2)". Lineage: Eukaryota; Metazoa; Chordata; Mammalia; Primates; Hominidae. The record is from RNAcentral.
CGUCUCUACUAAAAAUACAGCAAUUAGCUGGGUGUAAUAGUAGCCACCUGUAAUCCCAGCUACUGGGGAGGCUGAAGCAGAAGAACCUCUUGAACCCGGGAGGCAGAGGUUGCAGUGAGCUGAGAUCGUACCACUGCACUCCAGCCUGGGCGAUAGAGUGAGACUCUGUCUCAAAAAAUAAAAUAAAAUAAAUAAAAAGAUUAGAUAAUCUGCAAAGUUCCUGUGAGCGCUGUCAUUUUGUCACUCUGGUUUUUCAGAUUCUUCCCCUGGAGGCUGGAGUUUCCAGGAUGUCAAAAUUACCUCUGCUUGGGUGAGCUAUUUCAAGCAGCUGGGAUACCUGUGUCACUCCUGCUGUCUGCCAGUGACUGCCCAGGUGUCUGCUGGUUCCUCCCCAGGAGUAGGGAGGAACCAGGUGGGCUGGCUGGGAUGGGUGGAUAUUUAAAGACCAGGCCUUGGACGCUGCAGCACUUCUAUCUCUGCUUGAUGCCUGCUGCCACGUGGCUGGUCCUCCUCCUCCUGCUGUGGCUGAGCCUUGGGGUGAAGACAGGCAGCUGCUCCCAACCCCAGAACCUUUGCUGUCUUGGGACGGAUCACCACUGCAAGAGGGGAAGUUGCUACUGUGAUGAAUUCUGCCAUGUGGCACCAGACUGCCACCCAGACCACAGUGUCCUCUGCAACCCUGGUAACUCACAUACAGGCCCGAUUCCACCGACAGCAAAGCUGGAUGCUAUGGCUGGCAGAGGCAAACCCUUUGCCUGCACUUCAGGCCAAAGCCGGGAUGUGGCCUAGAUGGUUCCUAAGGUCCCUGACAAUCCUGAGAUCUUGCAUCUUGUCUAUUUCAGGUCAAAGCUUCUCAGAUGACC